GCGCCCGUAGCUCAGUCGGAUAGAGUGUCUGACUACGAAUCAGAAGGUCGGGGGUUCGAAUCCCUCCGGGCGCG
This 74-nucleotide transfer RNA is filed under the name Hydrogenibacillus schlegelii. Its description in RNAcentral is "Bacillus schlegelii tRNA". It matches the Rfam family "tRNA". Rfam says of the family: Transfer RNA (tRNA) molecules are approximately 80 nucleotides in length. The record is from Rfam by way of RNAcentral. Lineage: Bacteria; Bacillati; Bacillota; Bacilli; Thermicanales; Thermicanaceae.